UGACGGUACCUGACUAAGAAGCUCCGGCUAAAUACGUGCCAGCAGCCGCGGUAAUACGUAUGGAGCAAGCGUUAUCCGGAUUUACUGGGUGUAAAGGGAGCGUAGGCGGUGAUGCAAGUCAGAAGUGAAAACCCGGGGCUCAACCCCGUGGAUUGCUUUUGAGACUGUGUUGCUGGAGUACAGGAGGGGCAGGCGGAAUUCCUGGUGUAGCGGUGAAAUGCGUAGAUAUUAGGAGGAACACCAGUGGCGAAGGCGGCUUACUGGACGGUAAAUGACGCUCAGGCUCGAAAGCGUGGGGAGCAAACAGGAUUAGAUACCCUG
Molecule: ribosomal RNA, 321 nt
Filed under: uncultured bacterium
Lineage: Bacteria
Description: bacterial SSU rRNA
Rfam family: Bacterial small subunit ribosomal RNA
Source: RNAcentral